GACGAACGCUGGCGGCGUGCCUAAUACAUGCAAGUCGAACGCACUCUCGUUUAGAUUGAAGGAGCUUGCUCCUGAUUGAUAAACAUUUGAGUGAGUGGCGGACGGGUGAGUAACACGUGGGUAACCUGCCCUAAAGUGGGGGAUAACAUUUGGAAACAGAUGCUAAUACCGCAUAAAACCUAACACCGCAUGGUGUAGGGUUGAAAGAUGGUUUCGGCUAUCACUUUAGGAUGGACCCGCGGUGCAUUAGUUAGUUGGUUGAGGUAAAGGCUCACCAAGACCGUGAUGCAUAGCCGACCUGAGAGGGUAAUCGGCCACACUGGGACUGAGACACGGCCCAGACUCCUACGGGAGGCAGCAGUAGGGAAUCUUCCACAAUGGACGAAAGUCUGAUGGAGCAACGCCGCGUGAGUGAAGAAGUUUUCGGAUCGUAAAACUCUGUUGUUGGAGAAGAAUGUAUCUGAUAGUAACUGAUCAGGUAG
Molecule: ribosomal RNA, 482 nt
Filed under: uncultured bacterium
Lineage: Bacteria
Description: bacterial SSU rRNA
Rfam family: Bacterial small subunit ribosomal RNA
Source: RNAcentral